UUCCUUUCAUUGCACUUUCCAGGGAAAGAUACAACAAAACCACGUUAGUGAGAGAGAAAUGACGCUCAAACAGGCAUACCUUCUGGAAUACCAAAAGGUGCAAUGUGCGUUCAAAGAUUCGAUGAUUCACAAAAUUCUGCAAUUCACAUUACGUAUC
This 157-nucleotide ribosomal RNA is filed under the name Blastobotrys proliferans. RNAcentral describes it as "5.8S ribosomal RNA". The record is from RNAcentral. Lineage: Eukaryota; Fungi; Ascomycota; Dipodascomycetes; Dipodascales; Trichomonascaceae.